RNAcentral lists this unclassified non-coding RNA (352 nucleotides) under soil metagenome. RNAcentral's name for it is "partial contains 5.8S ribosomal RNA, internal transcribed spacer 2, and large subunit ribosomal RNA". The stretch from base 1 to 120 matches the Rfam family "5.8S ribosomal RNA", at positions 35 to 154 of the family's 154-position model. The record is from RNAcentral.
GAUGAAGAACGUAGCGAAAUGCGAUAAGUAAUGUGAAUUGCAGAAUUCAGUGAAUCAUCGAAUCUUUGAACGCACAUUGCGCCCGCCAGUAUUCUGGCGGGCAUGCCUGUUCGAGCGUCAUUACAACCCUCAGGCCCCCGGGCCUGGCGUUGGGGAUCGGCGGAGCCCCCCGUGGGCACACGCCGUCCCCCAAAUGCAGUGGCGGUCCCGCCGCAGCUUCCAUCGCGUAGUAGCUAACACCUCGCGACUGGAGAGCGGCGCGGCCACGCCGUAAAACACCCCACUUCUUCAAGGUUGACCUCGGAUCAGGUAGGAAUACCCGCUGAACUUAAGCAUAUCAAUAAGCGGAGGA